This 490-nucleotide ribosomal RNA is filed under the name uncultured bacterium. RNAcentral describes it as "bacterial SSU rRNA". It matches the Rfam family "Bacterial small subunit ribosomal RNA", at positions 33 to 507 of the family's 1533-position model. The record is from RNAcentral.
GACGACGCUGGCGGCGCGCUUAACACAUGCAAGUCGUGCGGUGUGGAAGGCAAGUCUUACGACAAGCCUUCGACACAGCGGCGAACGGGUGAGUAACACGUGAGUAGCUGUCCUAAGGAGGGGGAUAACGCCUGGAAACGGGUGCUAAUACCCCAUAUGCCUCGCAAGAGGUGAAAGUGUACUUGCUACAGCCUUAGGGUGUGCUCGCGGCCUAUCAGCUAGUUGGUGAGGUAACGGCUCACCAAGGCUAAGACGGGUAGCCGGCCUGAGAGGGUGUACGGCCACACUGGAAUUGAGAUACGGCCCAGACUCCUACGGGAGGCAGCAGUCGAGAAUAGUCUACAAUGGCCGGAAGGCUGAUAGUGCGACGCCGCGUGAACGAGGGAGCCCUUCGGGGUGUAAAGUUCUUUUCUAUACGAGCAGUGCUAUAUAUAUGGAUAGUAUAUAUAGAGGGAUAGUAGUAUAGGAAUAAGCAACGGCUAACUCCGUG